Long non-coding RNA from Mobula hypostoma (lesser devil ray), 402 nucleotides. RefSeq lists it as uncharacterized. The transcript is spliced from 3 exons. The record is from RefSeq and is a predicted model, not a curated record. NCBI's taxonomy places the organism in Eukaryota, Metazoa, Chordata, Chondrichthyes, Myliobatiformes, Myliobatidae.
UUCUAUGUUCAUUUGAAAAGACAAGAACUGAAUAGGGAUAGUCAACGUAACUUUGUGAAUGGAACCAAAGUCUCAUUUCGAAGUAACAAACAUGAUCCCAGGGCUCAGAGAGGAUGACAUUGCAGCUUUGAUUGAUGAAGCUACAGACAUUUACAGUUUCAUCAAUCGUCCGAUAACUUGGUUUGGCGUCACAGAGGAAAGAAAGAACAAUCAAAAGAAGAAAAGUAUGUACAGAGUAGGGAGUGAUCUUUUUUUUUACAACAUAUUCAUUGACUUGUGAGAAUAAAAUCAGGCCUAUGAGGUGUUAUGUAGUUAAACCAUUUUUUCCAGUAUGAAUAAAGUUGUUCCAACUUAUGAUUAACAGAUGCUGUUAUCUUCUCCAUUUUGUAAAUGUCCAUUGUA